RNAcentral lists this ribosomal RNA (301 nucleotides) under uncultured bacterium. Its description in RNAcentral is "partial 16S ribosomal RNA". It matches the Rfam family "Bacterial small subunit ribosomal RNA", at positions 509 to 808 of the family's 1533-position model. The record is from RNAcentral.
CAGCAGCCGCGGUAACACGUAGGUCCCGAGCGUUGUCCGGAUUUAUUGGGCGUAAAGCGAGCGCAGGCGGUUAGAUAAGUCUGAAGUUAAAGGCUGUGGCUUAACCAUAGUACGCUUUGGAAACUGUUUAACUUGAGUGCAAGAGGGGAGAGUGGAAUUCCAUGUGUAGCAGUGAAAUGCGUAGAUAUAUGGAGGAACACCGGUGGCGAAAGCGGCUCUCUGGCUUGUAACUGACGCUGAGGCUCGAAAGCGUGGGGAGCAAACAGGAUUAGAUACCCCCGUAGUCCCUGUCUCUUAUACA